Molecule: unclassified non-coding RNA, 377 nt
Filed under: uncultured Actinomycetes bacterium
Lineage: Bacteria; Bacillati; Actinomycetota; Actinomycetes
Description: uncultured actinobacterium contains 16S-23S intergenic spacer region
Source: RNAcentral
UCCGGCUUGUCACCGGCGGUCUCUCCAGAGUGCCCGGCCCUACCCGAUGGCAACUGAAGAUAAGGGUUGCGCUCGUUGCGGGACUUAACCCAACAUCUCACGACACGAGCUGACGACAACCAUGCACCACCUGUGCAGGACCCUUGCGGACCUCCCAUCUCUGGAAGAUUUCCCUGCAUGUCAAGCCUUGGUAAGGUUCUUCGCGUUGCGUCGAAUUAAGCCACAUGCUCCGCUGCUUGUGCGGGCCCCCGUCAAUUCCUUUGAGUUUUAGCCUUGCGGCCGUACUCCCCAGGCGGGGUGCUUAAUGCGUUAGCUACGGCACGGAGGGAGUGGACAACCCCCCACACCUAGCACCCAUCGUUUACGGCGUGGACUAC